RNAcentral lists this ribosomal RNA (253 nucleotides) under uncultured bacterium. RNAcentral describes it as "partial 16S ribosomal RNA". It matches the Rfam family "Bacterial small subunit ribosomal RNA", at positions 524 to 776 of the family's 1533-position model. The record is from RNAcentral.
UACAGAGGCCUCAAGCGUUGUUCGGAAUCACUGGGCGUAAAGGGCGCGUAGGCGGCUUUGUAAGUCACUUGUGAAAUCUCUGAGCUUAACUCAGAACGGCCAAGUGAUACUGCAAUGCUAGAGUGCAGAAGGGGCAAUCGGAAUUCUUGGUGUAGCGGUGAAAUGCGUAGAUAUCAAGAGGAACACCUGAGGUGAAGACGGAUUGCUGGGCUGACACUGACGCUGAGGCGCGAAAGCCAGGGGAGCAAACGGG